GGAUGGGUACCCAAGUGGUUGAAGGGACCGGUCUUGAAAACCGGCGACGGUUCGCGCCGUCCGUGGGUUCGAAUCCCACCUCAUCCG
This 87-nucleotide transfer RNA is filed under the name Thermoguttaceae bacterium. RNAcentral describes it as "tRNA-Ser". It matches the Rfam family "tRNA". Rfam says of the family: Transfer RNA (tRNA) molecules are approximately 80 nucleotides in length. The record is from RNAcentral. Lineage: Bacteria; Pseudomonadati; Planctomycetota; Planctomycetia; Pirellulales; Thermoguttaceae.